CACCAUUAAAACUAGGGACUUUUUUACAAGCAAUGUUGAACACUUGGUGAUAUCUUUGGUCACGGUUAUAGCUCUCUUCAUGAGAAUGAUGGUGAUGCCUCCUUCUUCUAUGUUCUUCUUCACCAAGGACUGAAGCUUUGGAAGGAGAAUGCUGUUUGUAAGAUGCACCACUUGAAUAGCCAGCCAUUUUGCAAAUAAAAAACAGCAAACACACAAAAACAGCAAACAAGUUAAGAAACAAAAUUAGCAAAAACAGUGAGCUUGGCAAUGAAACUGCCGAAGUGAAAUGAGGCUGAAAAAAGAGAUCACUCUCAAAGAAAUAAUGUUCUUGCACCAAUCUGAUCUUGAGGCCUUGGAAUCCUCAAAUGAAAUAUGUCAAAGCAAGCACACCAAUCUUAAGAGCAAACCACCACAAAACCAAAGAAACAAUAAAGACAAACAAGAAAAGGUAUAAGCAAGGAAAGGUAAUUGCAAAAGGAAUACUAUAUGUAAGACAAACUCAAAGAAUAAGAAUGAAAGACAAUCAAGAAAAUAAAGAACUCAAUGAGAAAAGUAGGCACACAAAAGAAUACCUAAGGAAAAGCACUAGAGUAG
RNAcentral lists this long non-coding RNA (594 nucleotides) under Phaseolus vulgaris (common bean). RNAcentral describes it as "long non-coding RNA (PVUL_LNC001018)". The record is from RNAcentral. Lineage: Eukaryota; Viridiplantae; Streptophyta; Magnoliopsida; Fabales; Fabaceae.